This 1375-nucleotide long non-coding RNA is filed under the name Homo sapiens (human). RNAcentral describes it as "long non-coding RNA NONHSAT150804.1". The record is from RNAcentral. Lineage: Eukaryota; Metazoa; Chordata; Mammalia; Primates; Hominidae.
GCUGCCUCGGCCUCCCAAAGUACUGGGAUUACAGGCAUGAGCCACCGCACCCAGCCAAAUUGGGGACUUUUAACAGUCAUUUUACCUGUAGAAUAAUCAAAACUCUUCACUUGAUCUGUAGUCAUAGCUAUUAACACAGAAAAAUGAAUGCCAGUUAUGUUGCCAUAAACCACCUUCUGAACUUGGCAAGAUCUUAAAACCAUCAACUGUUCUCUGUUCACUCUGUGAACUUCUUUCUACUUUACUUCCUUCUCUACCUCACCUGUACUCUAUAGUCACUCACUUCAAUGACACUUAAAGAGCAUUCACUCUCAGAUCACUUUUCUCCUUUCCUUGCCCAUUCUUAUCUUGCCAACUCCCAGUCCUGGAUAAAUCCAAACAUCCACGUUCUUUGUGCAUCCGUGUUGCUCAGUGCUGCUGGGGAACAUUUUCACAACUGCUGUUGGAACCAUUGUGAGUUUACACAUUCCAGCCUCUGCAACGCCUUUAUUUUCCAUCUAAUCUUUCCUAGCAGAGAUUUCUAUUUGUUUUGUUUUGGUUUGAGACAGAGUCUCGCUCUGUCUGGCAGGCUGGGGUGCAGUGGCACGAUCUCAGCUCACUGCAACCUCCGCCUCCUGGGCUCAGGUAAUCCUCCCGCCUCUGCCUCCCAAAAUGCUGGGAUUACAGGCGUGAGCCACCACGCCCGGUGUCAGAGAUGUCUUAUUAAAGAUCCCCUUCUUCUCUUCUUCCUCUCUUCUCCCACUAAAUAGAAACUCUCCUAACUUUCCUUCCCUCUACUUUAGGUCUGUCUUUACAUAGUCUGCUAUUUUCAAGAAGAGUUUGACCUGCCCUAGGUUCUCAUGUGCUUGAAUUUCCCCCUGUCUAUUGAGGGCCUUGUCCCAUUCCAUCUUCCCUUCUAGAUAUCUCUCAUCUAGAUAAUCUCAAGAUCUAUCCAUUGAUUCUUUUUUAAUCAGUGUACUGAGAGGAAGAAAGAGGGCAAGGAAAUACAUACUUAUGAAGUAUCUUACCGGGUACUAGAUACUUUACAUGUUUUCCUCAAGCAUUUACUGAGGAAUGCCAGGGCCUUGAAUACAGAUCAAAGUACCUGGCUCUGCUGGGCGCAGAGGCUCAUGCCUGUAAUCCCAGCACUUUGGGAGGCCAAGGUGGGUGGAUCACUUGAAGUCAGGAGUUCAAGACUGGCCUGACCAACAUGGUGAAAUCCCAUCACUGCUAAGAAAAUACAACAUUAGCCGGGCGUGGUGGCACACGCCUGUAAUCCUAGCUACUUGGGGGGCUGAGGCAGGAGAUUUGCUUGAACCCGGGAGGCAUAGGUUGCAAUGAGCCAAGAUCGCACCACUGCACUCCAGCCUGGACAACAAGAGCAAAACUCCAUCUC